Molecule: long non-coding RNA, 5591 nt
Organism: Gasterosteus aculeatus aculeatus (three-spined stickleback)
Lineage: Eukaryota; Metazoa; Chordata; Actinopteri; Perciformes; Gasterosteidae
Source: Ensembl
GAUUCACCAUUCUAUCUGCUAAUAUUAAGACAAAAGAAACAAAGACCAGGGUCCUUCAUUUUGCUGAGGUUGCUCAAUGUUCAAACUCCUAAGACUGACGAUUGGAGGGUAAAGAAUAAGUGUCCGUUUAACAUCACUCUUUUAUUCAAAAGGGAAGAAAAAAACAACAACUUUAAAAGAGGUUUUAUGUUAAUGUCAAGCUUAAUUGGCAUUAGAAAAAAUUGCUUUGGCAUAUGGAGGGGCUCCAAGAUUAGCCAGAAGAGAAAGAGCAAGAUAAAGCCUUCAAAAGGCCUAUUUCAGAGGAAUUAUAGCGUCCUUUGAACAUCAUCCAAGUUUUAAAUACAUUAAAAGCCUGUUGGCAUACAUGUAAAUUAAGCAGUACCAAAGCGUUCCAAAGAAUUCACGGUGAAUCAGACCAAGGGUGUGAGGAUAAAAUGCAGGGCAAACGUGUCCCAGAGGGAGACGGGGAGGAAUCCUGGCAUCUCCCACAAGCUCCUCUGCUCGCCCCUUUCUUCUCCGUGUCCAUUCUGCUGUGGGCCAAGUGGCUUAACUUAGAUGAAAAGAACCACGGCGAGGAGCUCCCUUGGCAGCGGAGCCCUCGCGCUGUCCAAAGUGCCAGUGAUGGAGCAUUGUGUACAGCACAUACAAAAGACUGUUUAGCACCACUAAGCAGGGCACCGGGGAUUUGUCUUAUUCCUUUGGCCGCCUGGCAAAGCACUGGCACAGCUGGGUCGGGGAAGGCUCGGGUGCAGGAAUGUCUGUUUUUCACUGUCCUGAACAUCGCGUAUGGUGAACAGAUAGCAGAGAGCGUCCCGUGUGCGUUCUCCUCAGAUUCCUUACCAUCAUGUGGGCGUGAUGGAUCAAAGUGACAGUGACAUAUGGAGCAAUUCAUGCCAGACCUCAGGUUACAAUAUAUCCUUACAGCGACACACUUUUCCUUUCUGAUUUGUAUAUAAUAAAGCAGUGCAAUGCAACUGGUUAUUUCAUUUAGAUUCAAGACAUACAGCAAAAGAGGAGGAGGAUUUAGACAAUGGAUUACAAUCUUGUGACGUAAACGUAUGACAACAUGAGAGCACAUGAGCUCAAACAGGUAAAACUAUAUAAAGUCAGCCUUAUUGGACUUGGAAUGACCUUUUUGAUUAAGUUAAAUAUUUACAGAUUACGUGAACAGAAAAGAACAAAUACAAACCGUUCCUAAAGAUUGCUGGAUAAUGAGGUUCCCAAAGGCUCAAUCCUGGGCCCUCUGGUAUUUGUUAUCUAUAUCAGUGUUAAUGUUACAAAUUGCACCCUAAAUAGAAAUAUUUCUUCUUUCUGUGUUGCACAAAUCACACCUGGUUAUUUCUGACUGCUAACACUGAUCACAUAUCAUUUAUACAGAAUAAUAGUAGGUGUCAAUGUCUCCAUAUCUGCCUAUGUUCUCAUUAUGUUUAGUUGUUGUUGUUGUUGGUAUAUUGAAACCAGUAGUCUCCAACAGAGAUGUCAUCAUGAUCCCACCGGCGUGCUAAUUUCGACACGAUAGCAGCAAAUAGGCAAGUAGGUGUGAGUAAAGAAGGAAAACACAGGUGAUGUAAUGCUUCUACGGCUUGCAGUACAUUUGCAAGUACAGUGACGUGCAUGUGUAUUUAUAGUUUACGUUACAUUCAACAAUGUUUUUACGGAUGUUUGUCAUAAGCUUUUUUAUUCCCACAAUGAAUGAGACAAUAUUGCAUUACAAGAAGUCUGGUUCAAAUUGACAUUAUAAUUUAGCGUAUCGAAAGGUAAAAAGAGCCACCUUAGAAAGUAUGAUGUAUAGUUGUGACAUUAUAAAUAUAUUAAUGAGAAUAAUUCAUAGCAAUGUUUGGUGGCCAUACAGUGUUUAUAACUCAAAAUGUUUUGGCUAUUACAGAGAUACAACAUUAAGAAGUUGAAGGUGUUACCAGAAUGGAUACUAACAUAACCAAAGAUCAGACGGAACCAUGAAACAAAUGUCAGAUCUGACCUCGAACUAAAAACUGAAUUCUGUUGUUCUUGGACAAUGAGAGACUGAAUAUCUGUACUUGAGAUCCAGCCAUACUCGAUCAACAAGUCAUCACGUCGCCAGGAGGAUUUACAUCUCAAGACAAAUAGUGACAUCAAAGCUCGGAAUCCUCAAGAGGCCGAAGCACUUCAUUUAAAGUUAAGAAGAUUUAGAUCAAAAGGUUAGAGAGAGAGAAACACACACACACACACACACACUCAAAGGACGACCCUCUGGAGGAAAAAAAGAAAUCACGUCCUUCACAGUGCUAAGCUCUACAAGUUCACUGCCACGGCAGGACACAGUCUGUUCCUUCACAGCCUCAGAGAGAUGAAAGGGAAGAUUGUCCGCUCGCUUUGAUUCAGACUCGGCCAAACGAAGUCCAAAGAAUUCCUGGCAAAGUUUGUUUUCUGAAAUCUCAAAGUUCUUCAGUAAACUCCCUCUCCCCACACCAGCCCGCCCAUCCUCUCUCCUCUCAUCACUCUAUUCAAAGCGAGGGAGCAUUUGUACAGUAUCGAUUGUCAAUUAGUUGUAUUUAAUUAUUGACUUGUUUCCCAGACCUCCUCGAGUAGUCUGCAAACUGUAAACACUUGGUGGAGAUUUGACAAAGAAUGUGAAAUGAAAAGCAUGAAGCAGCCCGAGAGAUCCUUCGUGUGAUUUGUUUAGAUGAAAAAUAUGGGAUGCAGUUAGGGAGCUUCUUUGUGACUAAAAUUCCUUAAUAAAUUGUAUUAGUAGGGACCAAAUCAGAAUAAAGGUCAGCAUUAAUGAACGGAAUGGUUUCAAUUCAAUUCAUUUUAUUACAAAAAAUGAAAAAACCCUUCCAUGAGGAAGAAAGGGAAGAAACCUUUGGGAGAACAUCUCCAUGUGUACAGAAUUAACAAUGUGAAAGAUGUAAAAUACAGUACAGAGGUCACCGAAUUUAGAUGAACAUCCAGAUUCUAAUUGCAGGCACCAGGUAUGAAUGGGGUCAAAAAGUUUUAGAUAUUCAUUGCAAUUCCGUGGUGCAUAGGGCUGUUAAAUGAAAGAUCAUUCAUAGCACUAAUACAACAAUACUGAAUGCAUGUUUCCACUCUGGAGAGGAUUUCUGAGGAGCCAACGUGUGUUUGAAUGAACACAUGUUGUGGAAAGUUUGGGUUCAAUAUGGUUUGAUGAUGGCUCUGGAGAGAAUCACGCAUUUCUGAAAUUCCAGAGCUUUAGAUCAGUCUGACAAGAGUAACUGUUUGAAAUAAAUCUCUCAAAUAACUUUCCAUGAGAAAAGCCGAAAACCAAAAGGAUUGGAUUUAAAGUUCUUCCUCUGAUGUGCAGCUCAAAGUGACUCAAUGCGAAAGACUUUCUGAAUUAACUUCAGAGGAAAACAGCAAGUAAACAAUAACAGGGAACAAUAUUUAAUCACAUGCGUUUGCUUGUAUGCAUGCCUGCACAUCAGAGGAGCUGCUCCCUCUAUAGUGGUGGAUGAUGCAAACUUCAAAUGCAGAUCACUUUAAUUGACACGGUGCUUCAUCUUCAAACUACUGUUGACAAUCCCCAAUUCGUGAGCGUAAUAAUUACAUAAAUAACACAUAUGAAAGGCGCAUGUGAGUCGGCGGAGGGGCUGAAACCGCUUCAUCAGAGAGAACACAGCUCGCUGUGAUCAGAGUCUCUAACCGACUCGCACCGUUAGAUGGAGACGGGUGAGAUUACGCUAAAGUGGUUUCAUGAUAUAUCUGCAGCUCUACAAUGCAAAAUCAUAUAUAUAUAUUUAUGUGUGGUAAUUAACAGGCAAACAACGUUUUCCAUGUCAGCUUUGCAUAUGAUGAUGUCAUCAACUUUUCUGAGCCACUGAGGAUAUAAAUAAACAAGUCAGGACCUACAAAAAACGAGAUGAACCAGUAAGUUGAACCUGUGAGAGACAGCAGAUUGUUCUGCAACUCGUCUCGAAAACGUGGGAGUGUUUUUGAAAAGGCACGCGUGAGUUGGGCGUGUCCUGUGGUAUUUAUAUUAGCAGAAAACAGCCCUUUGCUCCAACUUUGGAUCGACUCCUGGCAAACUCUCACUGCUCUUAAAUCUCUCUAAGCACACAGACAGGAGCCGAAAAAAAGGCAAGCACAUCAACAUGGUGGCUUUGACGGUGAUGAUUACCAGCCAAUUCCCUGAAUUAUAGGGGUUUGCAACCAAUGAGCUCCAUCUUGUUUAGAGACGGACAUGUUAGAGUUGCGAAGCAGUAAACUAAAGUAGGGAUUUUAUACUUUAGACGAGGGGGGCAGCGGAGGCUGAAAGAGACACGGGACUUGAUGGAUGGCAUGAGGAGGCAACAUGUGGAGUCACUUUUGUGGGAAAAUAAAACAGAACAGUCAUGAAAGAUUAAUCAAUAUUAGAACAUGUGUCAAAGACGUGCUCUAAAACAAUGCAGAUUAUAAUGGUAUUUAAAACCUCAUGUGAGAAUUGUUUUACUUCAAAAUCAGUUUGAUUUCAAUGUUUUGCAGCAAGGAUUGUUUGCAUCCUGCCGCACUGCAACCAUGCAGCCACAAACGCAAUUGUUUUUUCGAGCACGUACGCUCUCAUAAAACCCUGUAAAGUUAAACUAACACAUGGCUAAUAAGGAACCAGAGUUAACUGGGUUCCCCUUAACGUCUUUAAACUGAUAAAGAAAACCUGGUGUGCCUUUUACAUCCUCCAAAAAGCCUAAUGGUAUACUGUAUGUAACUGCAGAGAGAGAAAACCUCCUGCAUGGAUGAGCCUACAAGUCGCCCCCCCCAACAACACCCCUGCUCCAUCGUCCAACAUGUCUGGCGCCCUCUUGUCUUUGUUUUGACAGGAGAAGUCUACCCUGAGUCUGUGGUGUCUUGUCAGGGCGACUGCCCAUGCGGGUCCGCAGUGUUUGACAGCGGUCUUUGCUUUUCUCCUUCUGCCCUGCCUUCCUGUUCUGCUCUGGUGAUUCUGCUCUUGACAAAUGUUCUGGUCACUUAGGCUAAUGUUAAUUUUCUUUUGUGCGUUAGGGUAAAAAGGAGAAGGAGCAAAAUAAAAGAAGAAAAAAGGGUGAGGAUUCACAACGUAUAAACACAGAAGGAGACAUUAGGAGAGUGAAAUAAAGUAUGGUCAAAUGUGUCCUUUAAAGUUGAAUUAAUUUAAGAAAAAUCUGGGAUUUUCCUGAAACCAAAACUGCGUGUGUUGUGUGUUCUUCUGUAUUGGGAAUGGCUUCAUCUUUCUCUGGGCUGGCGUGAUGUAUGUUGGAGUGCAAUGAACAUUGAAAUGUUCAUCCCCUCACUGAGCAACACCUUUUUUCAUUGGUUUGAUUACUCUCCACUGUAUCAUGCUCCCCUUAUACUGUGCGCCUUUAAGGUAUUGAAACUUAACUGAAAAGGUGAGUGCGAAAAGUGGUUGGUGGCAGGUUCCUUUUUCAGAACGGCAGGUUCCAGCGGUCGGUGGCAGGUUCCUUUUUCAGAAUGGCAGGUUCCAGCGGUCGGUGGCAGGUUCCUUUUUCAGAACGGCAGGUUCCAGCGGUCGGUGGCAGGUUCCUUUUUCAGAAUGGCAGGUUCCAGCGGUCGGUGGCAGGUUCCUUUUUCGGAACGGCAGGUUCCAGCGGUCAGUGGCAGGUUCCUUUUUCAGAAUGGCAGGU